Molecule: ribosomal RNA, 944 nt
Filed under: Bacidina phacodes
Lineage: Eukaryota; Fungi; Ascomycota; Lecanoromycetes; Lecanorales; Ramalinaceae
Description: LSU rRNA
Rfam family: Eukaryotic large subunit ribosomal RNA
Source: RNAcentral
GAUUGACCUCGGAUCAGGUAGGGAUACCCGCUGAACUUAAGCAUAUCAAUAAGCGGAGGAAAAGAAACCAACAGGGAUUGCCUCAGUAACGGCGAGUGAAGCGGCAAGAGCUCAAAUUUGAAAUCUGGCCCCAAUCGGGGUCCGAGUUGUAAUUUGUAGAGGAUGUUUCGGGCUUGGUACCGGCCUAAGUUCCUUGGAACAGGGCGUCAUAGAGGGUGAGAACCCCGUAUGCGGCCGGCCUCCAAGCCUACACGAAACUCCUUCGACGAGUCGCAUUGUUUGGGAAUGCAGUGCAAAAUGGAAGGUAAAUAUCUCCUAAAGCUAAAUACCUGCCAGAGACCGAUAGCGCACAAGUAGAGUGAUCGAAAGAUGAAAAGCACUUUGGAAAGAGAGUUAAAAAGUACGUGAAAUUGUUGAAAGGGAAGCGCUCGCGACCAGACCUGUCCGCAGACGCUCAGCGGCGGUUCUCCGCCGUGCACUCGUCUGCGAUCAGGCCAGCAUCGGUUCCGGCGACCGGAUAAAGGCCCCAGGAAUGUAGCUCCCUCCGGGGAGUGUUAUAGCCUGGGGCGCCAUACGGCCAGCUGGGACCGAGGACCGCCUUUCGAAGGAUGCUGGCGUAAUGGUCGUGAGCGGCCCGUCUUGAAACACGGACCAAGGAGUCUAACAUCUAUGCGAGUGUUUGGGUGUCAAACCCAUGCGCGCAAUGAAAGUGAACGGAGGUGGGAACCCUCAAGGGCGCACCAUCGACCGAUCCCGAAGUUUACGGACGGAUUUGAGUAUGAGCAUAGCUGUUGGGACCCGAAAGAUGGUGAACUAUGCCUGAAUAGGGUGAAGCCAGAGGAAACUCUGGUGGAGGCUCGCAGCGGUUCUGACGUGCAAAUCGAUCGUCAAAUUUGGGUAUAGGGGCGAAAGACUAAUCGAACUAUCUAGUAGCUGGUUCCUGC